CUCGAAAGAGGCGCUAAUACCGGAUACGAACUUUGCAGGCAUCUGCGAAGUUGGAAAGUUUUUCGGUCUGGGAUGGGCCCGCGGCCUAUCAGCUAAUUGGUGAGGUAUCGGCUCACCAAGGCGACGACGGGUAGCCGGCCUGAGAGGGCGACCGGCCACACUGGGACUGAGACACGGCCCAGACUCCUACGGGAGGCAGCAGUGGGGAAUAUUGCGCAAUGGGCGAAAGCCUGACGCAGCAACGCCGCGUGCGGGAUGAAGGCCUUCGGGUUGUAAACCGCUUUCAGCAGGGAAGAAGCGAAAGUGACGGUACCUGCAGAAGAAGCACCGGCUAACUACGUGCCAGCAGCCGCGGUAAUACGUAGGGUGCAAGCGUUGUCCGGAUUUAUUGGGCGUAAAGAGCUCGUAGGCGGUUAGUCACGUCGGAUGUGAAAUCCCAGUGCUUAACACUGGGCCUGCAUUCGAUACGGGCUGACUAGAGUGUUGUAGGGGAGACUGGAACUCCUGGUGUAGCGGUGAAAUGCGCAGAUAUCAGGAAGAACACCGGUGGCGAAGGCGGG
This 560-nucleotide ribosomal RNA is filed under the name actinobacterium MS-B-64. RNAcentral's name for it is "bacterial SSU rRNA". It matches the Rfam family "Bacterial small subunit ribosomal RNA", at positions 150 to 725 of the family's 1533-position model. The record is from RNAcentral. Lineage: Bacteria; Bacillati; Actinomycetota; Actinomycetes.